RNAcentral lists this ribosomal RNA (253 nucleotides) under uncultured bacterium. Its description in RNAcentral is "partial 16S ribosomal RNA". It matches the Rfam family "Bacterial small subunit ribosomal RNA", at positions 524 to 776 of the family's 1533-position model. The record is from RNAcentral.
UACAGAGGUCCCAAGCGUUGUUCGGAUUCACUGGGCGUAAAGAGCUCGUAGGCGGCUUGUCACGUCGAUUGUGAAAGCCCGAGGCUUAACCUCGGGUCUGCAGUCGAUACGGGCUAGCUAGAGUGUGGUAGGGGAGAUCGGAAUUCCUGGUGUAGCGGUGAAAUGCGCAGAUAUCAGGAGGAACACCGGUGGCGAAGGCGGAUCUCUGGGCCAUUACUGACGCUGAGGAGCGAAAGCGUGGGGAGCGAACAGG